This 790-nucleotide ribosomal RNA is filed under the name uncultured bacterium. RNAcentral describes it as "bacterial SSU rRNA". It matches the Rfam family "Bacterial small subunit ribosomal RNA", at positions 8 to 796 of the family's 1533-position model. The record is from RNAcentral.
AGAGUUUGAUCAUGGCUCAGAUUGAACGCUGGCGGCAGGCCUAACACAUGCAAGUCGAGCGCGAAAGGCUUUCGGGCUGAGUAGAGCGGCGGACGGGUGAGUAACGCGUAGGAAUCUACCUGGUAGUGGGGGACAACUUGGGGAAACUCAAGCUAAUACCGCAUACGCCCUAUGGGGGAAAGUGGGGGACCUUCGGGCCUCACGCUAUCGGAUGAGCCUGCGUAGGAUUAGCUAGUUGGUGAGGUAAAGGCUCACCAAGGCGACGAUCCUUAGCUGGUCUGAGAGGAUGAUCAGCCACACUGGGACUGAGACACGGCCCAGACUCCUACGGGAGGCAGCAGUGGGGAAUAUUGCGCAAUGGGGGCAACCCUGACGCAGCCAUGCCGCGUGUGUGAAGAAGGCCUUCGGGUUGUAAAGCACUUUCACUUGGGAAGAAAAGCUGCAGGUUAAUAGCCUGUAGCCGUGACAUUACCUUGAGAAGAAGCACCGGCUAACUCCGUGCCAGCAGCCGCGGUAAUACGGAGGGUGCGAGCGUUAAUCGGAAUUACUGGGCGUAAAGCGCGCGUAGGCGGUUUGUUAAGUCAGCUGUGAAAGCCCCGGGCUCAACCUGGGAACUGCAGUUGAUACUGGCCGACUAGAGUACGAGAGAGGGAGGUAGAAUUCCAUGUGUAGCGGUGAAAUGCGUAGAUAUAUGGAGGAAUACCGGUGGCGAAGGCGGCCUCCUGGCUCGAUACUGACGCUGAGGUGCGAAAGCGUGGGGAUCAAACAGGAUUAGAUACCCUAGUAGUCC